GGGUAACAUUGAAAAGUUUAGAUGUUUCCUGAUUCACGCUUCCAACAAAAAACUUCUGCAAUUUCCUGCUUGUAGUUCUCGAGCAAGAUCUGCAAGUCUCAAAUAGCCAGAUACAUGA
RNAcentral lists this small nucleolar RNA (118 nucleotides) under Olea europaea subsp. europaea. RNAcentral's name for it is "Small nucleolar RNA snoR104". It matches the Rfam family "Small nucleolar RNA snoR104". Lineage: Eukaryota; Viridiplantae; Streptophyta; Magnoliopsida; Lamiales; Oleaceae. The record is from Rfam by way of RNAcentral.